RNAcentral lists this ribosomal RNA (253 nucleotides) under uncultured bacterium. RNAcentral's name for it is "partial 16S ribosomal RNA". It matches the Rfam family "Bacterial small subunit ribosomal RNA", at positions 524 to 776 of the family's 1533-position model. The record is from RNAcentral.
UACAGAGGGUGCAAGCGUUAAUCGGAAUUACUGGGCGUAAAGCGUGCGUAGGUGGUUCUUUAAGUCAGGUGUGAAAUCCCUGGGCUCAACCUAGGAACUGCAUUUGAUACUGAAGAGCUAGAGUGUGGUAGAGGAUAGUGGAAUUCCCGGUGUAGCGGUGAAAUGCGUAGAUAUUGGGAGGAACACCAGUGGCGAAGGCGGCUCACUGGACUGGUACUGACGCUGAGGCGCGAAAGCGUGGGGAGCAAACAGG